This 4341-nucleotide long non-coding RNA is filed under the name Olea europaea subsp. europaea. The record is from RNAcentral. Lineage: Eukaryota; Viridiplantae; Streptophyta; Magnoliopsida; Lamiales; Oleaceae.
UUUGCAUUUCCCCUCACAGUUCACUGUUCAUUUAUGAAGACAGUUGUGGACAAAAAAAGGACAUUUCUCUAUGCCAUAAUUGUUGACUGUGGGACUCGGAUUUCGACAUUGGGUAGCUUCCAACAUACGCUCUCACUGUACAUCAGCCAAAUAUCGACUAUUCUUUCUAUUCAAUUUUUGUGAAUAUUUCACUCUUCUUUGACACAAACCCUGGAAAUCGGCUGCAACAUCUCCACUCCUCCACCGACGACAAACACCAUUUUUGGUAGUUCCUAGCUCUUCAACAGCUUGAAACCAUAACAAAUUGUGAACUUUUCUUCCUUCCAAAAUUUGUUUCACUCAAGAUGCGCUAAGAAGCCGCCAGACGUGUUCAUGGGAGCCAAUCGAAACGACAACGUGCAGGAGGUAACACGAAAGAAAUAAAUUUUUUAACAUAGGUUCCUAAUUUGUUGGUUUUGGUGUAAAUAACAGAUUCAUUUGUUACCCAAUUGAAUGUUAGAAAAGUUGUAGACGAAUUGAGAUGGUCAUGCAGGAACAAUUAUUUGGAGUUCUCGAUCUCAUUAUAAUCCUAUGAGUUAUCUUAAGUGCUCUAUAAUGUUUAAUUCAUAUGAUAAUUAAGCAAAGAGAUUACAUAUGUAGAUUAUCUUCUUAAUGAUAGCUGAUAGGUUCUGUUGGGAUGCUUUUUUUGGUAUAAUUUUUUAACAAAUAGAGCUUGAAAGAAAUCACAUUGGGAUGAUCCAUCAAGCGCAUUAACUACAAUUACUAUUUUUAUAGCACCUAUCUUGUGGUACCUUCUUUAUGGUCACAGUCUGUCCAGUUUGAAAGCAUGUUGCCUACCAAAGAAUAAUGGCAAACCAAGUGUUCCAUAAAUGAAGGUAAAAUUAUGGGCAUUGUUAUGAUGUCAGAUGAACAGCUGAAAAACCAUUCCAAAUGAUCCUAUUUUUCCAUUUUUGCUAAGUGGCGUCCCCUAUUUUUCUUUAUGGUGUGUUUGUUCUUUCACUGCUGCACGUCACUAAGGUUUGUUGUAAUCUAACUUUAAAAGAUUGAAAAGUUUAAAAGUAGAAUUAACUGGACUUCAAAUGGACGUGAAGUCAGAAAGAGAUAGAAUAGUAGUUGAAUUUGACUGUAAAAGACUUUAAAGUAAAAAAAUAAAAAUAAAUAAAAAAAGAAUUUGACUUGAACUGGAUGUGAAUUCAGAGAGAGAAUGGGACGACCAGGAAGUACUACUCACUCAUAUUAUGACUCGUUUCUAUUCACAUACCAAAGAUGCGCUAACAAAGCAUAAAAAAUUUGAAGAUUAAAAAGAAGUGCUACAGACUACAUGUUUCAAUGCAUUGGUGCCUCAAGAGCUAUAAAUCAAUCAUUUAAACAUAGGUAUAUUCUUUUUUCAUGAAAUAUAAAUUAUCAAGCAUAUACAUACACAAUUAUGUUUGCAUAUGUAUCGCGUAUAUGCAUGCAUGUGUAUGAUUCUAAUUUGUGGUGUAUUUGAUAUGAAUAUAAUCUGAUUAGGUAAAUACAGUUUGGUAAAAGUUUCGUGUGCACUUUACUAAAAUUUGUAGUUAGACUAGCAUAAAUGAGGAUAAAUGUUGUUCUUUCUUGCUAACUGUUCACAAAAAAGAUAAAUAAUGACUACAAUAUUAUUAUUUAUUUAUUUAUUUAUUUUAUUUAUUUAUUUAUUUAUUUUUACAACCGUGGGUGUCUGGGUCAACUUACGAGUACCUCAACUAAUCCUAUGGAAUCCUGAAAUUUAUAGCUGGGUGCUCGCCUCAGUGACCCUAAGGGAACUCGAAAUGGUGACUACAAAAAUGAUAUAUCAUUUGGAUCCAGACCUUAUUUGAUGUGUUAUAGUUGACUCUUUCUUCUAUUAGAAGCCUGUAAGAAUUGCAAUAAUGAACUCUUGCAUUUGAGUUAACGUUAAUGAAAGAGAGAGCCUUCACAAAAAUACCAUUUUUUAAAUUAGCUUAUGUUUAGUUAACAUAAAGCGAAUCUACCUUUUUUGUUACUUAUAUGAAUUUUCUUGUAACUUGUAGGUCAGUAUUUCUAAUUAUAAUGAUCAGCUUAAGGUAUUCAUCUUUUCAUUCUUGAAUGAAUUGAUAACACAGCAACUGAGGUUGACCUAUUAACUAUUAAGCGUUCCUUUGCAGAUGGGAUUACUAUUACUACAUCCAGCUAUUUAGCAAUUGGGUACCAUGGUCAGACUUGUAACUCUAUUUACAUUCCAUUUUAGAAUUUAUAUAGUUGACAAACACGGCAUGGUCUGUAAGGUGGACGUGGAUCUGAUAGUAAUGGACGGUGUUAAAUAAGGAAGUUAAAGUUUUGUGUAUUACAUUUUCAGUUAUGAUCUAAUAUUAUAUUGCUACAAACAUGCCAUCAGGGCAAUGAAAAGAAGGCACUUGUUUCUGCAAUGUUAUUGAAGAAGAGAAGAUGAUGGAACUUAAGGUACUUUGUAACCGAUAAAAUCGACAUGAGUUUGAUAACUUUUCAGUUACUAUUUUCAUGUAUGGUUUUAUUACUUUUGUUGCAAUUAUUCUACACCAAUCAGUGUUCCAAAAGACUCCUAAACAUGGAUAUGUUCGUACUCGUCUUAAAAGUAAUGUUUGCUUGACCGGGGAAUUCUGAAUGCCUUUAUUCUACCAAUAAUUUCAAUGGUCUCUCGUACAGACAGGUCGUGUAUCAUAAGAGUUGAGACACGAGAAUCUGAAACGAAAUUGUAAAAAGAUGAUUAUUGCAUCUUCAGUAAUUCUUUGAUGUAAGAUAUUUAGUUAAUUGGACAGUUUCUCAUUUUCUUUCUCUUCUAACCAUUCCAUAGGUCUUUACAUGUUUUUUGCUUUCUCAUGAGGGUGCUGUUUGAGAAAAUUUCUCAAAAGAUAAUUCAACUACUUCAAAGAAAUUGAAAGAAGAAUAAAUGAUAAAUGGAGAAACCUUAACUCAUAGUUUAAUUCUUAGGGAUAAGGUGCAAAUUGACACAGAUUAAGUGAAAAUUAAUCUUAGUUAAAAUCUCAAGCAAGAGCUUCGAGCAUAUUUGGCUAAGCUUAGAAAGUUCACAACAAGAAAGUUUUAAAGUAAGCAUUUGUUUAUUGGUCAAAGUUUGAACAAACUUUAAGUAACUCUUUUACAUAAAAAAGGAAGGAAAAAGUAAGCUAUCAAAAUAUAUUUGGAAACAAAAACUUAAAGUAAGAACAAUUUAUCCCACGGCAUAAAUGAUCCUGAAUAUAUCCUUUAUUGAAGCUCAAAUUUACUGUCAACAAUAUUUGUUCAAGAGUAUCUUGCGGAUGCAGGAUGGUAACAAUUAUGAGAUAAGUAAUAUCUUAUUUUCCUUACAAGUUACAACUAUGGAAGUUUGUUGUAGCUUGUGCCUAACCUAAUAUUAGCUGUAAGGUUUUUUUAUGAAAUAAUUUUUAAUUUUUUACAUUGUGAAAGGAAAGCGUCUGCAAGAUCUAGCUAUCUGUAUGCAUUUACGAUGCUUUUGAGAUUGGUCUCUUUAUUUCAAAUUAGUUGUUCUCUAUUGCUUCAAGCAAAAUUCGCAGGAAGGCAUUUGAAUUUUAGUUGGAAUGAUUAUGAAUAUUAUUUUGUUUUGUUAACAGGUUAUAUGACCAUAUUUCAUUAUAUUGAACCCAUGAACCUCAGUUUUUAAAAUUUGUUAGAUCUGAAGAGGGAUGCUAUUGAAGGUUCCAACGACUAUUUUAGUCUACCAACUUUUACUAUUGUCAAUUUACUAUAAUUCCUUUAAUUCUGUUUUUAAUUCAUAAUUGUUUUUGUACUUAUCAAAUGUCUAUAUUAGCUCCUACAGCUUAUUAGUUCUUACGAGAUUUUAGAUUUCAUGUUCCUUACUCUUGUUUAAUGUUGUGUAGCUUCUGAAUCAGCUUUUGGUUCGUCUUAUGAUUACUCAGCUAACAUUGAAGUAAAAUAAAUAAAUAAAAUAAAAAAAUUAUAAUAAAUCCUUUUGAAUUGGCUUGUUAUUAAUUAUUCAUAAGGCAUUUUAUAUUUCCGUUUUCUAUUAUAUUAGUCUUAUAAUUUGUUGUGUUUUCAGUGCCUGGCUGAAUGCACCUCAGCAUAGAGGUGGGAUUGUGAAAAACCCUACAUUUGAUUCAUAUUUAAAUGAAAGGACUGCGUUUCCAAAGGGAAAAAUUGGAAUUGAGAAAUCUAAGGGGGAACAAAUUCAUAGUAGCAACUAGCAGAAGCUCACCAAAUAAUAGUUUCUCGCAAAACUUUCAUAUAAAAAAUGACCUUCGGCAUAUGUUUUCUGGUAAAUAUAUAAGAACUACAAGAUUUGCCAUUUGUAUUGUAAUAACUACUUGUAUUGUUCAUUCAAAAUUAUUAGAUAGCCUGGGUACAAAUCAG